CACGCAGGCGGCUAGGCAAGUCUGACGUGAAAGCUCCCGGCUAAACUGGGAGAGGUCGUUGGAAACUGCUUGGCUUGAGGUAAUGAGAGGGGUGCGGAAUUCCCGGUGUAGUGGUGGAAUGCGUAGAUAUCGGGAGGAACACCAGUGGCGAAAGCGGCACCCUAGCAUUGACCUGACGCUCAUGUGCGAAAGCGUGGGGAGCGGAACG
RNAcentral lists this ribosomal RNA (208 nucleotides) under uncultured bacterium. RNAcentral's name for it is "partial 16S ribosomal RNA". It matches the Rfam family "Bacterial small subunit ribosomal RNA", at positions 568 to 775 of the family's 1533-position model. The record is from RNAcentral.